AAGUAGAAAACCCUAAGGGGGCAGAAAUUGAGUAUGAAUAGUGUGAGGGGUUAGAGGUGGAAAUGUUUAAUGUUGGUAUGCAAGAAUCAUUUGUUUUUGUAACAGCAUUUGUAUAUAUUUAUGGAUAAAACUAAAGGUAAAAGAAUGUCACCACUCAACCAGGAAAAUCUGUCAAUAUUGUGGUAAUCUUUUACUGUGUAGGUGAGCCGUCGAGGUACAGUGAGUUAAGACUAGUAAGGUGGUGUGUAGGGUGAACAUUAAGGCCCCAGGAAAGACAGUUACCGACACUGGCCUACAGAAGACCUCCUGGGGACCAAGUGGAGACAGACAAGACAGUGUAGCAUUAAUGACCAGGGUGAACAUGGCAGAUAGUGAACUGCAACCAGAUACUCCUUUACAAGAAUUAUCAUAUAAACGGAGUUUAGCUAUUGUAAGUGCUUUCAAUGAAAAUAAUAAUUGGAAGAAUGUGGCUGGAAAAUUAGACAUUGUUCUCAGCCAUCAAGAAAUAUUACAAAAUCCAGGCCAGGCCCUGUUCAGGAAGCUGAUAUAUCAAGAUUUCACUGUGGAACAUCUACAAAUUCUGCUGGGACUUUGUGAGCUUUAUGAUAUCCUCAAUGAACUUGUAACUAAUGUUCCUGUGAUGAUAAAGCCUCCAGAGUACAGUUGCAAAGAAGUCAAACUUGGUAAAUCAAUUACCAUUAAUGUUGAUGUUGAUGGAUCUCCAUACCCAGAGUUUCAGUGGUACUUCAUGGAUAGUGAUAACCCUCUGGAUGGACAGACUACUUGUUCACUGACAAUAGAUAAAUUCAAAAUCCAAGAUAAGGGUGAAUACUUUUGUAAAGUGAGGCAAAUCUUGAAGGGAAAUGUGAGAGAGCUUUGUUCAGACAAAGUUACCUUGAAUGUGGAAAGAAUGAAUCCUAUGAUUUCGGAGAAUCUUUCUGAUAUGAAGUUUUAUGCAGGUGAGGAGCUAGUGUUAACAUGUGCAGUGAUUGGCUACCCAGAACCAAACAAUUACAGAUGGUUUAAAAACAAUGAAGUAUUUAAAGUGACUUCUCAACCCAUACUCAAAAUUCCAAGGGAGGACUCUCUAGUACCUGGUGCAUACAAAUUCUUCUUUGAAGUUUGGAAUGACCUUGGAAGCUGUAAAUCAGAAGUAGCCACAGUCACUGUUGUUCCACCAAUCCCUCCAACAAUCACCAAACAACCAAGGAGAAAGUCAAAAUUUGGUCUUGAUAGAUUUAUCAAUCUUUCUUUUGAAGUUCAUUGUAGAAAUGAAGUAAAAUUUAUCUGUUUUGUUAACAACAAACCUUUAGACAGUGCUGGAAGUUUUCACGGAAUAAUAGAGUCAAAAUCACUUUCGGAUAAUAUACACACGUGUGAUUUGUUUUACUCUACUACUAAAGAAAACAUGCAGAGAGAAGAAUGGAAGCCACUCUUAUUCAGGUUUGAGGCUGCAUCACCCACAGGCAGAGUUUCAUCUGACGAUAUAGUAAUCCAAGUCAAGCAGACACAAGAGGAAACACUAACUGCACGCAAUAAGUGGGCAUUGCUUGUGGCAAAUUCAGACUACAAGACAGAGGACAAAGAAUUGUAUGCACCAUUAAGUGAUGUGAAACUAUUAGCAAGAGAACUCACAAAACUUCAGUUUCGCAUUAUCAUGUACAGCAACUUGGAGAAAGCUGAUUUUUUUAAUGCUUUUCAUCAUUUCUCAACUUAUGUUCAAGAAGGAGAUUAUGUUGUGUUUUAUUUUGCUGGACAUGGUUUCAGCUGUGACGGAAUUGACUUUAUGGUGCCUGUGGAUAAUAUACAUACUGGUAGUGAAACUGACAUCAUGAAACCUCUUAACAUGGACUAUGAAAAUAUACCCAGAGAGGAGAAUGUGAAGACGUCUUCUGAUCUAGCAGAUGGCAUUGCAUUAACAAAUUUCAUUAACAGCCUUCAGCAUUCUAGGCCAGAACUUCUGUUCCAAAUCAUUGAUGCAUGUCGCGGACAAGUGUACAGAGAAAAGUUGCCUGCAGGAGCAGAACCAUUUGCAAUUGCCCUACCAAAUGGUUAUAAACUUCAUGCUACAUCAGAAAAUUAUACCACUUAUGAAGCAACAGAGUCAUCUCUACUGAUGCAACAACUAAUCAAGUUUUUGCAAAUGCCCAUAUCUGUGGUUACACUGGGAGAACUUGUCAAGCAAUCUUUUCGUCGCUAUUCACAUGAAGAAGACGUGAAUGGUCAAGUACCAAAGACAGAAGGAAAUCUGGCUUCACCAUGUUCUCUUGCAGAUCGCUCUAUUCCAUGGGAUAUGGAUGAAAAAGAGUAUGGAGUACUUCGCCGCUGGGAAAGGCUGGGAAGAGUUGAAUGUUUUGAAGCAAAGAUGCAAGUAGCUCACUGUGACAUAAGAGUGAAAGUCCAGUGCACCCAAGAGGAACUGCCAGAUUAUCAGCAUUAUCAGAAGAAAGAGCCAGUAAGGGUUAUUAGUAACAAUAUUCAAGUUAAUAUUGUACUAAUGCAGGGUGAUGCACCUUUUGAUACCAGAGUAAUAAAUAAAGAAGGACUAGAUCUUCACAUCAAAUUCAGCACUGGCCAGAAUGAUGGCAAGAGCUUCUUCACAACAGCUGGCAGCCGAGGAGGAGCAACCAGAGGCGAAGAAACCCCAAUUAGAGCAGGAGGAGGAGGAGCAACCAGAGGCGAAGAAACCCCAAUUAGAGCAGGAGGAGGAGGCAGCUGCAGAGUCUCAGUGACUCACACCCUCCUCUUCCGCCAGCCUCCUCCUUCGCUCCACUACCCACCACACACUCGCUCUACCACCUCCGCCCAUCGAUCUCUAUGACACUGCCUGGGAAAGUAUCACCAAUAACCUGCCCCAUUAAUGGCAUUCAAGCUCUGAAGGGAUACUUGAUAAUGG
This 2896-nucleotide unclassified non-coding RNA is filed under the name Homarus americanus (American lobster). RNAcentral's name for it is "uncharacterized LOC121855183, transcript variant X5". Lineage: Eukaryota; Metazoa; Arthropoda; Malacostraca; Decapoda; Nephropidae. The record is from RNAcentral.